UGAGGAAUUUUGCGCAAUGGGCGAAAGCCUGACGCAGCAACGCCGCGUGACUGAUUAAGCUCUGAGGAGUGUAAAAGUCUGUCGUAGAGGAAGAAACUAUCCGAUAAGAAUAUUGUCGGAUACUGACGGUACUCUAUGAGAAAGCUCCGGCUAACUCCGUGCCAGCAGCCGCGGUAAUACGGGGGGUAGCAAGCGUUGUCCGGAAUCACUGGGCGUAAAGAGCGCGUAGGCGUCCUAAUAAGUUUCUGGUGAAAUACUCCUGCUCAACGGGAGAAUUGCUGGAGAUACUGUUAGGAUUGAGUUUAGAAGAGGGAAGCGGAAUUCCUGGUGUAGCGGUGAAAUGCGUAGAUAUCAGGAAGAACACCGAUGGCGAAGGCAGCUUCCUAGUCUAACACUGACG
Molecule: ribosomal RNA, 400 nt
Filed under: uncultured bacterium
Lineage: Bacteria
Description: bacterial SSU rRNA
Rfam family: Bacterial small subunit ribosomal RNA
Source: RNAcentral